This 468-nucleotide ribosomal RNA is filed under the name uncultured bacterium. RNAcentral's name for it is "partial 16S ribosomal RNA". It matches the Rfam family "Bacterial small subunit ribosomal RNA", at positions 28 to 507 of the family's 1533-position model. The record is from RNAcentral.
GACGAACGCUGGCGGCGGGCUUAACACAUGCAAGUCGAACGGAAAGGCCCUGCUUGCGUGGGGUGCUCGCGUGGCGAGCGGGUGUGUAACCUGUGAGUCACCUUCCCUGUACUUUGUGAUAUCUUCAGGAAACUGGGGCUAAUACCUGAGUGGUGCUGCUGCUGCAUGGGGGUGGUUGGACAGUUUCGGCGGUGGGGGAUGGACUCGCGGCUUAUCAGCUGGUGGGGUGGGUAGUGGCUUACCCAGGCUUUGACGGGUAGCCUGCCUGAGAGGGGGACCGGGCACAUUGCGACUGAGAUACGGCCCAGACGCCUACGGGAGGCAGCAGUGGGGAAUAUGGCACAAUGGGGGGAAGUCUGAUGAAGAAACGCCGCGUGCGGGAAGAAGGCCUUCGGGUUGGAAACCGCUUUAGGCUGUGACGAAGCGUGAGUGACGGUAAUGGGUAAAGAAGCACCGGCUAACUACGUG